GGGGGUGUAGCUCAGUUGGGAGAGCGUUCGGUUCGCAUCCGAGAGGUCAGGGGUUCGAAUCCCCUCAUCUCCACCA
This 76-nucleotide transfer RNA is filed under the name Bacillota bacterium. Its description in RNAcentral is "Firmicutes bacterium (gut metagenome) tRNA-Ala". It matches the Rfam family "tRNA". From Rfam's summary of the family: Transfer RNA (tRNA) molecules are approximately 80 nucleotides in length. The record is from RNAcentral. Lineage: Bacteria; Bacillati; Bacillota.